AAGGUUUCCAGAGUAAAGCUGAUCUGCUCUGGGUAAGUCGGGGCCUAAGGAGAGGUCGCAAGACGUAUCCGAUGGACAACAGGUUUAGAUUCCUGUACCGCAUAUAAACAGAACUGUGGGGACGCAUGUGGAAAGCAUAAGCCGGGAAUGGAAAGACCGGUACAAGCGGGGUAGGUGUGUGACAGGCAAAUCCGUCAUAUAAGCCGAAGACGUGAUGUGGAGCGAAAUUAAGUAGUGAAGUAUGUGAGCCAUGUGCCGAGAAAAGCCGCUAUUGUUUUAUAUGUGCCCGUACCGUAAACCGACACAGGUGGAUGAGGAGAGAAUCCUAAGGCCGACGGAAGAAGCAUUGUUAAGGAAUUCGGCAAAAUGACCCCGUAACUUCGGGAGAAGGGGUGCCUGCGAGAGCAGGCCGCAGAGAAUAGGCUCAAGCAACUGUUUAGCAAAAACACAGGUCUAUGCGAAACCGAAAGGUGAAGUAUAUGGGCUGACGCCUGCCCGGUGCUGGAAGGUUAAGAGGAGAGGUUAGCGUAAGCGAAGCUUUGAAUUUAAGCCCCAGUAAACGGCGGCCGUAACUAUAACGGUCCUAAGGUAGCGAAAUUCCUUGUCGGGUAAGUUCCGACCCGCACGAAAGGCGUAAUGAUUUGAGCACUGUCUCGACAAUGCAUCCGGUGAAAUUGAAGUACCAGUGAAGAUGCUGGUUACCUGCGCCAGGACGGAAAGACCCCAUGGAGCUUUACUCCAGUUUGAUACUGGGAUUCGGUACUGCACGUACAGGAUAGGUGGGAGACUGAGAACUAUGGACGCCAGUCUGUAGGGAGUCGCUGUUGGGAUACCACCCCUGUAGUACUGGGUUUCUAACCAUCUGCCGUGAUCCGGCAGUGGGACAAUGUCAGGCGGGGAGUUUGACUGGGGCGGUCGCCUCCGAAAGGGUAUCGGAGGCGCUCAAAGGUUCCCUCAGAAUGGUCGGAAACCAUUUGAAGAGUGCAAAGGCAGAAGGGAGCUUGACUGCGACACCGACGGGUGGAGCAGGUACGAAAGUAGGACUUAGUGAUCCGGUGGUAUAAAGUGGGAUUGCCAUCGCUCAACGGAUAAAAGCUACCCUGGGGAUAACAGGCUUAUCACUCCCAAGAGUUCACAUCGACGGAGUGGUUUGGCACCUCGAUGUCGGCUCAUCGCAUCCUGGGGCUG
Molecule: ribosomal RNA, 1188 nt
Filed under: human gut metagenome
Description: bacterial LSU rRNA
Rfam family: Bacterial large subunit ribosomal RNA
Source: RNAcentral